UGGGGAAUAUUGCACAAUGGGGGAAACCCUGAUGCAGCGACGCCGCGUGAACGAAGAAGGUAUUCGUAUCGUAAAGUUCUGUCCUAUGGGAAGAUAAUGACAGUACCAUAGAAGAAAGCUCCGGCUAAAUACGUGCCAGCAGCCGCGGUAAUACGUAUGGCGCGAGCGUUGUCCGGAAUUAUUGGGCGUAAAGGGUACGCAGGCGGUUUAAUAAGUCGAAUGUUAAAGAUCGGGGCUCAACCCCGUAAAGCAUUGGAAACUGAUAAACUUGAGUAGUGGAGAGGAAAGUGGAAUUCCGAGUGUAGUGGUGAAAUAAGUAGAUAUUAGGAGGAAUACCAGUAGCGAAGGCGACUUGCUGGACACAAACUGACGCUGAGGUACGAAAGCGUGGGGAGCAAACAGG
RNAcentral lists this ribosomal RNA (403 nucleotides) under bacterium. RNAcentral describes it as "partial 16S ribosomal RNA". It matches the Rfam family "Bacterial small subunit ribosomal RNA", at positions 355 to 776 of the family's 1533-position model. The record is from RNAcentral.